AGAAAAAGAGUCUCACAAAGCAAAAGUGCUGGGAGUACAUGGCAGUUGUCAGCACAGGUGGGAUGGCCAAGGGCUAUGGGGGCACAGAAGGAGGAGCAGGAAAGUCUCAAUAAAGGAGGUGACAGGUGAACCAGCUGCAAAGGAUGGAUAGACCCUUGCUUGUGAUGACAGGGGAAAGACAUUCCUACAGAAGACAUAAGCAGAGACUUUGAAAUAUAGCAUGGAUUAAUAGGGUCUUAGGAAACAGAGUAUGCUUCUUUUAACUUACUUUAAGGAUAGAACAUAAAGGACAUUAUAAAAUGGUGCGUGGGGGUUGACUGGUUUGCUUAGGAUGAUGUUUGAAGUUUUUCCAUCUUUUUCAGUUCUAUCCUUAAAGGAUUUAUCACUAGUUUUAAUGUAGAAGUAUUAAAGCAGGUCUUUGAAAAAAAAAAUUUCAAGCAUAUUAAAUAGGCACCUCCUUUAAAAUGGGUGACUAAAAUUUCAAAACAAAACAAAAUCAACAUGAUAGAAAGAUUAUCCUGCUCCUGCCCCUUCCCCAUCUUUUGUCUGCUCCUUCUAUUCCCUUGAUUUUCAGGUUGUUGAUAGCACUUUAAAUUUUAUAAAACUUACAACAUAAGGAUACUUUCUUGAAAGAUGAUUGACAAGAAAUGGAAUAUGGGGCUUUCCACCUUAAAUAAAAUUUUAUGCUCCUUCAGAACUUGUUUAAACACUUCAUUCUGUUUUACAAAAAUCUUGGACUGGGCAUUUAGCCAAAAAUGUAUUUCCAUUUAUCUUCUGAACAAGGUACAUCACAGUGGAAAUUGAAUGUGGAUGUUUUAGGCUCAUUAGCUAUUUUUCCUCAGCUAUAACUAUUGCCUAUAUUAGAUGUCAGUUAAUCUUGACAAAUGGGAAACAAAGUACCUUUUAUUUUGAUAACUGAGAUAUGUUUAUGCCUCAACAGGGGAGUCUUUAAUAAGCUGGAUUCUGAGGGACUUUACUUCUUUUGUAUACCUCCCACCCAGCUGGAUACCCAUGUGUUGGGUGCACUGCAAAGAAGAGGAGGGAUAAUGACAGUGGCCAGUGUUUCUCCCACAGGGUCUGCUUCCUGGAGAACCCAAACUGUGGUGAAUACCUAAAUCUAAAUGGAGGUUUGGAAAAUGUCAACCACUGGACUUAAGAAAAGAAUCUACUUUACCUGUGUGGACAGGAAAGGACAGUAGUUCUAGGUAAGACAAAGAUUCCUCCAAACAUACCAGAAAUCAAUCAGGAUAAAAUACAAUCAACAAAAAUAAGAUAAAAAAAAAUGGACAUAGGAGUUCCCGUCGUGGCGCAGUGGUUAACGAAUCCGACUAGGAACCAUGAGGUUGCGGGUUCGGUCCCUGCCCUUGCUCAGUGGGUUAACNNAAAAAAAAAAAAAAAAAAUGGACAUAAAAUAAAUGGUAGGUAGAGACUGGAGAGCUGGUAGAC
This 1446-nucleotide long non-coding RNA is filed under the name Sus scrofa (pig). RNAcentral describes it as "lncRNA (ENSSSCG00055025217.1)". The record is from RNAcentral. Lineage: Eukaryota; Metazoa; Chordata; Mammalia; Artiodactyla; Suidae.